CCGGCAUCCGCGCCGGCCACAUUGGCGGCGAGGCGCGCGGCCUCGGCCGCCAGCAGCGCCUCCUGGUUGGACAGCGUGCAUUCGCCGAUGCCGGU
Molecule: transfer RNA, 95 nt
Filed under: Roseomonas sp. CECT 9278
Lineage: Bacteria; Pseudomonadati; Pseudomonadota; Alphaproteobacteria; Acetobacterales; Roseomonadaceae
Description: tRNA-Ala
Source: RNAcentral